RNAcentral lists this ribosomal RNA (457 nucleotides) under Mesocoelopus cf. MSL2007. Its description in RNAcentral is "partial 16S ribosomal RNA". It matches the Rfam family "Bacterial large subunit ribosomal RNA", at positions 1797 to 2540 of the family's 2925-position model. Lineage: Eukaryota; Metazoa; Arthropoda; Insecta; Coleoptera; Ptinidae. The record is from RNAcentral.
CGCCUGUUUAACAAAAACAUGUCCUUUUGUUAAUGAUUGAAGGUCGGGUCUGCCCAAUGAUAUUUGAAUGGCCGCGGUAUAUUGACCGUGCAAAGGUAGCAUAAUCAUUAGUUUCUUAAUUAGGAGCUGGAAUGAAUGAUUUGACGAGGGAUUAGCUGUCUCUUAUUGAUUUAUUGAAUUUUAUUUUAAAGUUAUAAAGCUUUAAUUUAAUAGAAAGACGAGAAGACCCUAUAGAGUUUGACUUACAUUAAUAAUUUACUUUUAUUUUAGUUAUUAUUGUAUGUUUUGUUGGGGUGACAGAAAAAUUAAUAAAACUUUUUCUUUAUUAUAAUAUUAAUUUAUAGGUUUUUGAUCCAUUGUUUAUGAUUAUAAGGUUAAAUUACCUUAGGGAUAACAGCGUAAUUUGUUUUGAGAGUUCUUAUCGAUAAUCAAGAUUGCGACCUCGAUGUUGGAUUAA